Long non-coding RNA from Strigops habroptila (Kakapo), 2644 nucleotides. NCBI's taxonomy places the organism in Eukaryota, Metazoa, Chordata, Aves, Psittaciformes, Psittacidae. The record is from Ensembl.
AGGAAUUCAUGUUUCUUGUUCUUUCUUCUAUCUAUGAUUGAUGACUUGCAAUAAGAACAAAUCAUCUUUGCAAGGGAGAAGGUGGCAGAGAUUUUUACUAGCAAGUUACUGUUUUUCUGGGAAUGAUACACCAGUUAAAAUUGGCAAAUAUCUGCAUCAUCAGAUAUUGAAGUGUGUGACAGGGAACUCUCUUCUCAGCUCUGCUGACUGCUUUCCUUGUGACCAUGUGAAAGUAAUUUAGCUUUUCAUCUUGGCUUUUUACCACUAGAAAGGAGUUGAGUGUAAGUAAAUAACUGAGAAUGGUUGCUGAUGAAUAGUUUAACAGAAAAUAAUUACUUUUAAUAGUUGGAACAGCCUAAUCCUAAAAUAGAAGUGAGGCAGCAUGUGGCAGGAAAGAAAUAACAUCAAGAAUGUUAAUUUCUAACUGUAAUUUUGGUAAUGAAAUACAUCCUCCGUGCUGGCUGGAGCAUUUGCAGGGUGUGCAUUUUCCUGGCCUCUCUCUGAAUGCUGCUGAUUGCCCAAGUUGUUCCCGAGACUUUCCUCUCACCCAUUCAGGAAAUCUGUACUUACCUGCCUUUCUCUUUCCAUACUCUGUACCACUUGAGCAGUCUCACUGUGUUUUGGCGUUUGGGGUUUAAGCAGUGCUGCUGCUCGCCCCUCACCCGUGUCCACAGAGUCACGCUGCAAUGCAAGACAGCACAGUUACUGGAGUCAUAGAAUUAUGGAAUGGUUUGGGUUAGAAGAGACUUUAAAGCUCACUCAGUUCCAACCCCUGUCAUGGGCAGGGACGACUUCCCCUAGAGCAGGCUGCUCCAAGCCCCUGUGUCCAACCUGGCCUUGAACACUGCCAGGGAUGGGGCAGCCACAGCUUCUCUGGGCACCCUGUGCCAGCGCCUCAGCACCCUCACAGGGAAGAACAUGGGAAUGCUGUCCCUCUGCUCCCACUCCAGGCAAAUGCCCAAAUCAGUCAGGGGGCUCUCACCCAAGUGGGCAGUGAUUUACAUGCUCUUUGUUUUAUAGCAGAUACUUCAGUUCGUUGUAAUAACACCGGAGCAGAUAUUUAGCUACCAUCAAUCAGUGCAGUGCAAUAUUGUCCACCAUUAUACUUAGUUCUUCCACGGGAAGACUUACAUGCUGUUUCUAAUCGAUGGGUUUGCUCUGCCUGUCAGAUAUUGUCUUUAAACUUAAUAGCUGAAUUAAUUAGGGCUCAUUCAGACAACCACAUGGUCUUUGCAUGAGGAUAAGAUUCCUUCAUGCUCACCAAUACGGCAUCCAAAAGAAAAGAUCACACCUGCUUCAUUGAUUGCUUAUUUCUCUUUUUUUUUUUAAGUCCACAGUAUUUUAAACACUUGCACAUAGCAGAGUGCCUGUGUGCCCCAGACCAGCUUUUUUUGUUGCCUGCAUGAGCUCACUUAAAGGUCUCGCCACCAUUUCAAAGUUAUACAAGGUGUUCGGAUAGUUCUUUCCAUUCAGUUACCCUUCCUGCCUACUCCCUUUUCUGCUCUACCUCUAUUGGGUGUAAGCUAAAGUCACGAACAGAUAAGGUGUAAUUUUCAGGUUGGUUUUUGGGGAGGAUGUAGCUUUUUCCCCAAUGCAUAGGCAAGCAGUGGAAGAAUUCCAAAGAGACUCUCUGGCUGCAGGCAUCGGAAAGGGAAGGAUUACUUCUAAAAUCUGUGGACUAUCUCUGUUCUAAGGAUGUUCUCAGCCUCUGGAGAUCAGUACAUGUGUGAGAAGGUGAUUUUUCUUGUAGCUUUCAGUGGGAGUGAAAUCCAUGGUAUGCCAGUUUUAAGGGACUUGAGGUCGGUGCAAAGUUUCUCCAUUCACUAGCCAUGUUCUGGGUUGCACUGUCUGACGCCAGACCUCAGCUUGGGUUUCUCUUCUGACAGACCACAGAGGGUAUUUCCAGAAAGCGAUGGACAAGCCGAUUUGCAGGAGGAGAGGAGCAGGAGCACCUCUGAAAUACAGCAAGCUCUACAUUGGCACUAGAAGCAGUUAAAGGACAAUUCUGGAUUUACUAGAGCCUGCGGUCUGAGGAGAAGAUGAUGCACAUUUUGCUUCUCAAGUGAUCUGGGCCUUUUCUCAGGCUGAGAUGCAUUGCUUUGACAUCACAUGUAGGUUUUCUGCUUUGAUGCUGGUGCCUGGACAGCAGAGGAGGUGUUUCCAAGGCAGCCCCUUGGUCCUCUGUAGUUCCUGCAUAGUUUUUGAUGCUGUGGAUGGAUGGUUGCAUUUUUGGGUACCCUGAGCUGACCUGGCCCUGCUCCUGGGAGUGCUGGUCCAGUGGAUGUGAGGGAACAUGCCUAAGCAGCUGUGGGAGCUGAUGCCCUAAGUGAGGAGUUGCCUCAAUGGCCUGCAAGCAGAGGUUGAGAGGGAUGGAGAAGGGACUAAAUCCUCCUGAGUAUGUCCAUGCCUUCAGAGCUGUGAUGAGCACCCCUGGGUCAGUCUGUGACCCCCAGCACCUCGUGCCCCCAUGUAUCUCAUCCAUAGGCUUCCUAAACUGCACCCUCACACCUACUACUUUGCAAACAUAAUUUAUAUCAUGUUUCUGCUAUAUGCAAAGAUAUGAGAGUUUCUGACGAGGGCAGGAGGGGACCCAGCUUCAACAACUCAUUUUAAAUGAUCACUGCAGCAACGAAAACUCAGUUGC